Molecule: ribosomal RNA, 504 nt
Filed under: uncultured bacterium
Lineage: Bacteria
Description: partial 16S ribosomal RNA
Rfam family: Bacterial small subunit ribosomal RNA
Source: RNAcentral
AUUGAACGCUGGCGGCAGGCCUAACACAUGCAAGUCGAGCGGUAGCACAGAGAGCUUGCUCUCGGGUGACGAGCGGCGGACGGGUGAGUAAUGUCUGGGAAACUGCCUGAUGGAGGGGGAUAACUACUGGAAACGGUAGCUAAUACCGCAUAACGUCGCAAGACCAAAGUGGGGGACCUUCGGGCCUCAUGCCAUCAGAUGUGCCCAGAUGGGAUUAGCUAGUAGGUGGGGUAACGGCUCACCUAGGCGACGAUCCCUAGCUGGUCUGAGAGGAUGACCAGCCACACUGGAACUGAGACACGGUCCAGACUCCUACGGGAGGCAGCAGUGGGGAAUAUUGCACAAUGGGCGCAAGCCUGAUGCAGCCAUGCCGCGUGUGUGAAGAAGGCCUUCGGGUUGUAAAGCACUUUCAGCGGGGAGGAAGGCGGUGAGGUUAAUAACCUCAUCGAUUGAAGUUACCCGCAGAGGAAGCACCGGCUAACUCCGUGCCAGCAGCCGCCGUAA